RNAcentral lists this ribosomal RNA (492 nucleotides) under uncultured bacterium. RNAcentral's name for it is "partial 16S ribosomal RNA". It matches the Rfam family "Bacterial small subunit ribosomal RNA", at positions 29 to 507 of the family's 1533-position model. The record is from RNAcentral.
AGUGAACGCUGGCGGUAGGCCUAACACGUGCAAGUCGAACGGCAGCACAGUAAGAGCUUGCUCUUACGGGUGGCGAGUGGCGGACGGGUGAGGAAUACAUCGGAAUCUACUUUUUCGUGGGGGAUAACGUAGGGAAACUUACGCUAAUACCGCAUACGACCUACGGGUGAAAGCAGGGAAUCUUCGGACCUUGCGCGAUUGAAUGAGCCGAUGUCGGAUUAGCUAGUUGGCGGGGUAAAGGCCCACCAAGGCGACGAUCCGUAGCUGGUCUGAGAGGAUGAUCAGCCACACUGGAACUGAGACACGGUCCAGACUCCUACGGGAGGCAGCAGUGGGGAAUAUUGGACAAUGGGCGCAAGCCUGAUCCAGCCAUACCGCGUGGGUGAAGAAGGCCUUCGGGUUGUAAAGCCCUUUUGUUGGGAAAGAAAAGCAGCAGGUUAAUACCCCGCUGUUCUGACGGUACCCAAAGAAUAAGCACCGCCUAACUUCGUG